AAGCCUUGCCCCGCGCAAGCACAAAAAGCCUUGCCCCGAGCAAGCACUCAAGAAAGCCUUGCCCCAAGCAAGCACCAAAGCCUUGCCCUGCGCAAGCAAAAAAAGCCUUGAUCAUAUACUCAAGCGUAAACCGUUAUAGUAUCACCCAGGGACAUACAAAAAUCCCACAUCAUUUUUGACACUCCCGAGAAUAUCACAACCUAACUUUUUAAGUUAGUUGUGCUCGAGGUUUAUAAUCCUCGAGAAUUUCCCAUUAUAACUUUUUAAUUUAGUUGUGCUCGAGAUUUACAGUCCUCAAGAAAAUCACAACCCAACUUUUUAAGUUAGUUGUGCUCGAGGUUUAUAGGUCCUCGAGAAUGUCACAUUAUCAUUUUUUAAGAUUAGUUGUGCUCGAGGUUUACAGUCCUCGAGAAUGUCACAUCAUCACUUUUUAAUCCCUUAAAUAC
RNAcentral lists this long non-coding RNA (446 nucleotides) under Olea europaea (common olive). Its description in RNAcentral is "long non-coding RNA (OEUR_LNC001026)". The record is from RNAcentral. Lineage: Eukaryota; Viridiplantae; Streptophyta; Magnoliopsida; Lamiales; Oleaceae.